UUUCUUCUUUGUUUCUGCACAGCCAAUCUGCCUUAUUUAAGCUCAAGUCUUGUCUUAGCCACCCCUUUUCAUAGACUAGACAACUUCUAAUUGUCCAUCUCAUGGCCAACCUGCACAAAAGGUAGGACCAUUGUUUUAUGUUGUUGUCUUUUUCUCUUGUAGAGACUGGAUUUCUUGUAGGAGGAGAGUGCAGGGUUAGGAAAAAACAGAGUAGGAGGCUGAAAACAGCCUCUAGCCUCUCACCAGGGUCUCUGAAUGUGUGGAGGCUGCGUUAAUUCAUACACUUCAUCCAGGAUCACUCAGUUGUUUUUCCCUCAUAGAUGUAGAUGGUCUGGCCUGGAUCUGAUCCAGAGAGUUGGGGAGUCAAUAAGAGCUGCCUGAGUAACUUUGCUUCUUUAUUAUUAAAGCAAUAUAAUGUGAGUUUUCUAGGGCACCAUCGUUUCCCUUAAAGCCAGUAUAAACUGCUUUAUUAGAGAUUAUAGCACCACUGGGACAGAAGGCAAGAGCAAUUAUUUAUAUGAUAAUAUGAGCUGAUAAUUUAGGCAUAAUUCAUUCACAUAAAUGUUCUAACAUUGCCACAUAAGUUUAUUAGCAUAUGUGGCAGAGUAUGAGUUCUACCCAGACAGCAAAGCCUCCUAUAAAACAAUUUGUAAUUGACUUUUCAUUUUUUUUCCUAUAUGGCAGAGUGGUGUAGGAACACAGUGAGAUUUCAGAGUGAGGAGCUUGCCACCCUUAGCCUUCUUGUUGUUUAUCUGCCCUGUCCCUGCUUUUUGCUUCAUUCACACAAGAUGGGAUGACUGGAGUAAUCAUCUUAAUGGAGAAGGGGAUUUUGUGGAGGCAGUUCAAGUUCAGGGUAGGAGAGUUAAGGAAGAGGGUUAAAGGGUCCAUGCAGGUCCUUGCUCUGACUUUCUCUUACUCUAGAUGAAAAUAAUUCCAGCUGUAAAUACCAGCUAAGAUCAAAUUAGAAAAGAUUUUUGUGAUAUGCCAUUAUCAAGGCAAGAAAAAUAUAAAAGCACAAAACAGUAAUUAUGGUCAUGGAUCACACAUGCCAGAGAAGCUAAUGGGCUUGCAGUUCUCCUCCUGAUGGCCAUGGGUGUUUAAAAGUUGGUUUUUAGAGGCAAUCUCUCAUCAUCAGUCAGAAGGAAGGAAGGGUUUGGGGAAGAAGUCUUUCUAGAAGCAAGGUAACAGAGAUGAAACAAUCUCUUGCAAUAAAAGAAGACCACGGAGAAGCUACACUGUUUUCAGAGACUUAAAAGGGUAAGAAUAGGGAGAAGAGACAAUGGGAAUGAGGAAUUCUCCAGGGUUCCUCCAGACAUGUACCGUUUUCAUCGUUUUUCUUAAUAGUCCAAGUAACAUGUGUUCUCUGAGUUAUGCCUACUAGAUGUACUAUUGCUAACACACAAUUGAAUAAUUUUCUCUAUAGUUAAGUGCAUAGUAUAUCAUCCUUCCUAUGUUUGCAGUAAAAUAUGCCAAUCUCUUCUCCUAUGAUUUGUUGACAAACUUUGAAUGAUUCUCCUAUAUCUUUUUCAGUAACACAUAUUUCUAUGCCUUAAAUUCUACUUCACCUUGGUUUUAUUUUGGGUCCUUUGGGAGAAGGCAGUCUUUAUUUUCUCCAAACAUAUAUCUAACAAUGCUCCCUUCGUCUUUGGCUGAUCCGAAAUGUCGUAUCAGUUGUGCAAGAGAGCAGUGUAGUAAAGGACAUUAUCCCAUCCCAUGCAGCAGGGUAGCAUAGCAGAGGGUAGUGCCCUAUCCUGUCUGCUCCCUUGGUCUGUGUUUAUCUCUCUGUUAUACCAUUGGUAUGGUAAGUUUAAUUAGUAGGCAAUAUGUUCCAGGAAAACUCUUUCCUAUAUACCUACAUUAGUCAGUUUUUAAGCAGAUUAUUAGAGAAGUAUUGGAGAGAGAAGGGCAGAACUAAGACUCUUGAAAAUUUUUUUAAUUUAAUUUUAUUUUAAUUAUGUAUUUUCUUCAUUUACCUUUCCAAUGCUAUCCCAAAAGUCCCCCAUACCACCCCCACUCCCCUACCCACCCACUCCCACUUCUUGGCCCUGGCGUUCCCCUGUACUGAGGCAUAUAAAGUUUGCAAGACCAAUGGGCCUCUCUUUCCACUGAUGGACUAGGCCAUCUUUUGAUACAUAUGCAGCUAGAGUCAAGAGCUCCAGGGUACUGGUUAGUUCAUAAUGUUGUUCCACCUAUAGGGUUGCAGAUCUCUUUAGCUCCUUGGGUACUUUCUCUAGCUCCUCCAUUGGGGCCCUGUGAUCCAUCCAAUAGCUGACUGUGAGCAUCCACUUCUGUGUUUGCUAGGCCCCGGCAAAGCCUCUCAAGAGACAGCUAUAUCAGGGUCCUUUCAGCAAAAUCUUGCUAGUGUGUGCAAUAGGAUGGACCAUCUAGAGACUGCCAUACCCGGGGAUCCAUCCCAUAAUCAACCUCCAAAGACUCUUGAAAUUUAAGGAUCUUUCUCAUGGAAGAACAGCAUUUGGAGGGUUAGUUCUCUUUCUCAAGGGAUCUGUCUGGGAGGAGUCCAGAGUGUUCUGCUUGGCCUUUAACUGACUCGGGUGAUAGCCAUUUGCUGUGUACAUUAUCACACUCCAGGUCAGUGGAUAUAAACUUGACCUGGUUGAUCUCUGCCUUGAACAGUUUGGCUGGCAAGGAAAGAUCCCAAUGGGGAAAAACCUCUCGUUCCAGCUAUUAAUGAUGAUAAGGAUAAGGCUUAAAGGCUUGCCAUUAUUAUUAAGCACAACAUAGAAGAGUCUUAGCACUUAACACAAGCUGGGCAAUGUGCAGGAACCUUGGACAGAAAUUGAUGAGGAGUAGCUAGAACUGUGCCCUGGGAGUAUACAGACAGCCUCAGCAGACACAUCCUCAUUUACCACUUGGCUUUCUUAGAUACGCGUGUUCCUUUAAAGAAGCAAGAUGUUCUCUACAGAGAGUAAUCCCCAUGAGGAUAACGCCAUUGACAAAAUGAAUCCUGUCUAGCAUGCUCAAACACAAGCAUAUAUAAGGGAUAAAUUGAUAAAUAGAAGAUGAAUGGAUAGAUG
This 3035-nucleotide long non-coding RNA is filed under the name Mus musculus (house mouse). Its description in RNAcentral is "long non-coding RNA chr3:31954763-31957798". Lineage: Eukaryota; Metazoa; Chordata; Mammalia; Rodentia; Muridae. The record is from RNAcentral.